RNAcentral lists this ribosomal RNA (1183 nucleotides) under Salmonella enterica. Its description in RNAcentral is "partial 23S ribosomal RNA". It matches the Rfam family "Bacterial large subunit ribosomal RNA", at positions 1 to 1216 of the family's 2925-position model. The record is from RNAcentral. Lineage: Bacteria; Pseudomonadati; Pseudomonadota; Gammaproteobacteria; Enterobacterales; Enterobacteriaceae.
GGGUUGUGAGGUUAAGCGACUAAGCGUACACGGUGGAUGCCCUGGCAGUCAGAGGCGAUGAAGGGCGUGCUAAUCUGCGAUAAGCGCCGGUAAGGUGAUAUGAACCGUUAUAACCGGCGAUACCCGAAUGGGGAAACCCAGUGUGAUUCGUCACACUAUCAUUACGUGAAUACAUAGCGUAAUGAAGCGAACCGGGGGAACUGAAACAUCUAAGUACCCCGAGGAAAAGAAAUCAACCGAGAUUCCCCCAGUAGCGGCGAGCGAACGGGGAGGAGCCCAGAGCCUGAAUCAGCAUGUGUGUUAGUGGAAGCGUCUGGAAAGGCGCGCGAUACAGGGUGACAGCCCCGUACACAAAAGCGCAUGUGUUGUGAGCUCGAUGAGUAGGGCGGGACACGUGGUAUCCUGUCUGAAUAUGGGGGGACCAUCCUCCAAGGCUAAAUACUCCUGACUGACCGAUAGUGAACCAGUACCGUGAGGGAAAGGCGAAAAGAACCCCGGCGAGGGGAGUGAAAAAGAACCUGAAACCGUGUACGUACAAGCAGUGGGAGCACCCUUUGGGGUGUGACUGCGUACCUUUUGUAUAAUGGGUCAGCGACUUAUAUUCUGUAGCAAGGUUAACCGAAUAGGGGAGCCGGAGGGAAACCGAGUCUUAAUUGGGCGUUAAGUUGCAGGGUAUAGACCCGAAACCCGGUGAUCUAGCCAUGGGCAGGUUGAAGGUUGGGUAACACUAACUGGAGGACUGAACCGACUAAUGUUGAAAAAUUAGCGGAUGACCUGUGGCUGGGGGUGAAAGGCCAAUCAAACCGGGAGAUAGCUGGUUCUCCCCGAAAGCUAUUUAGGUAGCGCCUCGUGAAUUCAUCUCCGGGGGUAGAGCACUGUUUCGGCUAGGGGGCCAUCCCGGCUUACCAACCCGAUGCAAACUGCGAAUACCGGAGAAUGUUAUCACGGGAGACACACGGCGGGUGCUAACGUCCGUCGUGAAGAGGGAAACAACCCAGACCGCCAGCUAAGGUCCCAAAGUCAUGGUUAAGUGGGAAACGAUGUGGGAAGGCCCAGACAGCCAGGAUGUUGGCUUAGAAGCAGCCAUCAUUUAAAGAAAGCGUAAUAGCUCACUGGUCGAGUCGGCCUGCGCGGAAGAUGUAACGGGGCUAAACUAUGCACCGAAGCUGCGGCAGCGACACUA